CAGUAGGUCCUGGAAAAGUAAAUUCUUUAUUUUACAAUAAGAAAGUGAUUACAUAUUUUAUUUUUUUUUACAAUGGUGGAAAAUUAGAAGUGAUUGUGAAAAUGAUGUCUACCCGCCUUGCUGAUGAGUAGGAUGUGAUUUGGCUCUUUAGGAAACUGAAUUUGCAGAACUUAAGAAUAUUGAUUUAUAAAGGGCAUGGCCAUUGACCCAGUCCAUCUUAUGCAAAUCUGGAUGCCAUAAAUAAUAUUUAAAAAUGAAAGUAUUGGGGUGGAGGUUGCAGUGAGCGGAGAUCGCCCCACUACACUCCAGCCUGGUCAACAGAGUGAGACUCUGUCUCAAAACAAAAAAAAAAAAAAAAAAAGAAGAAGUCAUUCCCAACAUUGCUCAUCAAAUUAUGACCAUAAAUUUCCAGGAUCAGACUAACGGCUAAAGAGACUGAUGCAUCAACACCAGGCAGAGAAUAAAGCAGAUUUUUUUUGUUUUGUUUUGGAGAGCCUCUAGGAACUUGAAAAAUACAUAUGCCACACUCUUAAGACCCGGUGGUUCUUAAUCAGGGAUGUUCAUUAAAAUGCUGGAAAACUCUAAAGAUUUCCAGGUCCCAUCCAAGGAGAUUUUGCUUCUGAUUGACUGGCUAGUGGCCUGGCCAUUGGUAUUUUGAAAAAUCCCUCCAAGUGAUUCUUUUACAUCCCAGCUAGAAAACCCUAAAUUAAAGGUGAAAAACCAGACACCAAGUGGCAUUUAAAUAAAUGUCAACUUUAACUCCACAAAGCAUCUGGUUGCAUGUGGACAGAAAGAGAAGGAAAGAGGGCCCUAUAUCUGGAUAACUUGGAAAUGUGCUCCCCCUAGCAAGAUAUCUACCAAAAUUAAAACCAUAUUUGAGGAUGCUGGCACUGUGAGCAAUAUAUAAAUGAUGCAUGUAACAUCAUUUAAUAUGAUCUUAUUUUUAAAAAUGAGUAGAGUGGUGUUUUCUAGCUGUUAGUGUUUCCAAAUAUCAAUGUAGAAAUUAGCCUUCUGCAGCUGCAGAGGCAAUUCAGUUUGCAGCUUGCUUGCAUGUGGCCUAGAGCCACCCAGCCUGAUAUGUACUAAUUUUUUAUGUUUAACUUGCCAGAGUAGAAACUCAGUUUCUGGGCGAGGCAUAGUGGCUCAUGCCUGUAAUCCCAGAACUUUGGGAGGCCAAGGCAAGCAGAUCACAAGGUCGGGAGUUCAAGACCAGCCUGGCUGACAUAGUGAAACCCUAUCUUUGCUAAAAAUACAAAAAUUAGCCCGGCAUGGUGGCAGGCACCUGUAGUCCCAGCUACUUGGGAGGCUGAGGCAGGAGAAUCACUUGAACCUGGGAGGCAGAGGUUGUGGUGAACUGAGAUCAUGCCCCUGCACUCCAGCCUGGGCAACAGAGUGAGACUCCAUCUCAAAAAAAAAAAAAAAGAAACUCAGUUUCUGGUUACAUCUGAUCUUUAUUUUUUAUAUAUCAUCUAAGCUAUAAAGUUAUAUUCCCUAUUUGUGAUCUUAAAAGAAGGACUCCAGGAAAGUGUUCAAAUAUUCAUAUAUCUAAACUGGAACAUAUGUUUAUAUUUUUAAAAGUAGCCUGAGAGGUUGGCAACUAAAGUCAUAUGUUGAAUGAUCAUUUCUCAAGAGUUUCAUUUUAUGGUCUUUCUCUUGUUCUGUAAAAUGUGGGCAUGGAUAGAUAUAAAGUGCCUGGUGUCCAUGCUUUUGUGAAAUCCCUUCCUCUUCCAUGUGAAUGGGACCUGUGACUUUCUUCUAACCCAGAGAACACAGCAAAAAUGAUGUGAUUUAUCUGAGUCCAUUGAUGACAUUGAUUACGACUUCCCUUCACCACAUUAUUUAGGACUGCGUCGUAGGAGACUGGGACACAUAUCCACUUUGCUGGCUUGAUGAAGUAAACUGCUAAGUUGAGGAAGCCCACAUGGCAAGGAACUGUGGGCAGCCUUCAGCCAACAGGCAGCAAAAAGCUGAGCUCCUCGGAGCUACAGCCUCAAGGAAGUUACUUCUGCUAACAACCUGAAAAAGCUUGGAAGCUAGUUUCUCUCUAGUGGAAUUUUUAGGGAAGAGCAUGGCCCAGGCAAGAUAAAUAAUGUAAGUGGAAAAACCUGUCAACAAUAAAGGUUUUAAAGG
This 2130-nucleotide long non-coding RNA is filed under the name Homo sapiens (human). RNAcentral describes it as "non-protein coding lnc-DGCR6-2:31". The record is from RNAcentral. Lineage: Eukaryota; Metazoa; Chordata; Mammalia; Primates; Hominidae.